This 403-nucleotide ribosomal RNA is filed under the name bacterium. Its description in RNAcentral is "partial 16S ribosomal RNA". It matches the Rfam family "Bacterial small subunit ribosomal RNA", at positions 355 to 776 of the family's 1533-position model. The record is from RNAcentral.
UGGGGAAUAUUGCACAAUGGGGGAAACCCUGAUGCAGCGACGCCGCGUGAACGAAGAAGGUAUUCGUAUCGUAAAGUUCUGUCCUAUGGGAAGAUAAUGACAGUACCAUAGAAGAAAGCUCCGGCUAAAUACGUGCCAGCAGCCGCGGUAAUACGUAUGGAGCGAGCGUUGUCCGGAAUUAUUGGGCGUAAAGGGUACGCAGGCGGUUUAAUAAGUCGAAUGUUAAAGAUCGGGGCUCAACCCCGUAAAGCAUUGGAAACUGAUAAACUUGAGUAGUGGAGAGGAAAGUGGAAUUCCUAGUGUAGUGGUGAAAUACGUAGAUAUUAGGAGGAAUACCAGUAGCGAAGGCGACUUUCUGGACACAAACUGACGCUGAGGUACGAAAGCGUGGGGAGCAAAUAGG